RNAcentral lists this non-coding RNA (21 nucleotides) under Caenorhabditis elegans. The record is from RNAcentral. Lineage: Eukaryota; Metazoa; Nematoda; Chromadorea; Rhabditida; Rhabditidae.
UCCGGAAAACUAAGUUUACUG